AUAAAGAUCAGAAUGACACAGGAAGAAGCAAGUGAGGGAAAGACGGGAGGAAGGCGUGCUGCCCUCUUUGACCACUCCCAGCAGCGCCGACCUCCAACUCUAAGACCAGCAUCAACUCCUCCUAUCACAGCCAGCACGGGCCACACCUCUAUGCAAAGAGUCCUCAGCUGCAGCUCUGAGAGGUCAGCGAGGCCAUGCCUAGAAGUCCAACGGUCUGUUCGGUGAAGGAUACGGAUGAGCUGAAUAGUGGCCUCAGCCAGCACUGCUGCUACUGGACUACAAAUAGGGUCUCCUGGAAGUAUGGAUGAGACUGCUGGAAAAGCCAAGGAUCAAACUCUGUGGAACACCAACAUUUUGAGAUGAAGGCAAGGUAAAAGUGGCACCAAAAAAGAGUUGCUUUCAAAGG
RNAcentral lists this long non-coding RNA (406 nucleotides) under Homo sapiens (human). RNAcentral describes it as "HSALNT0221383". The record is from RNAcentral. Lineage: Eukaryota; Metazoa; Chordata; Mammalia; Primates; Hominidae.